UACGGGGGGGGCAAGCGUUGUUCGGAAUUACUGGGCGUAAAGGGCUCGUAGGUGGCCAACUAAGUCAGACGUGAAAUCCCUCGGCUUAACCGGGGAACUGCGUCUGAUACUGGAUGGCUUGAGAUUGGGAGAGGGAUGCGGAAUUCCAGGUGUAGCGGUGAAAUGCGUAGAUAUCUGGAGGAACACCGGUGGCGAAGGCGGCAUCCUGGACCAACACUGACGCUGAGGAGCGAAAGCCAGGGGAGCAAACAGG
Molecule: ribosomal RNA, 253 nt
Filed under: uncultured bacterium
Lineage: Bacteria
Description: partial 16S ribosomal RNA
Rfam family: Bacterial small subunit ribosomal RNA
Source: RNAcentral